Molecule: long non-coding RNA, 1699 nt
Filed under: Mus musculus (house mouse)
Lineage: Eukaryota; Metazoa; Chordata; Mammalia; Rodentia; Muridae
Description: Dxz4 macrosatellite
Source: RNAcentral
CCUUUUCUGCUUCGCUCCCAACUAAGAAUGCAGAGUCAGGGAGAUGGCGCAGAGACAAUGCUGCUGUCCAUUGAAGCCCUCCAAAGGUCGGAGAUUCGAUCACAGGACAGCCUGGCCUGGACCAAGUCAGGUUGAUAUGGCUAGGCGGCCUGCUGGCGAGAUAGUGGGAGUGGGCGGUCCGCCCCUCAGGACCUCUGACUUGGACAGAUGACUGGAUGACUCUCUGGGGCAGCAUUCACCGGAACUCAUAUGGAGGGGGCUGCCUGAGAAACCAACCUGUGUGCCUGGGUCAGGUUGAUAUGGCUAGGCGGCCUGCUGGCGAGAUAGUGGGAGUGGGCGGUCCGCCCCUCAGGACCUCUGACUUGGACAGAUGACUGGAUGACUCUCUGGGGCAGCAUUCACCGGAACUCAUAUGGAGGGGGCUGCCUGAGAAACCAACCUGUGUGCCUGGGUCAGGUUGAUAUGGCUAGGCGGCCUGCUGGCGAGAUAGUGGGAGUGGGCGGUCCGCCCCUCAGGACCUCUGACUUGGACAGAUGACUGGAUGACUCUCUGGGGCAGCAUUCACCGGAACUCAUAUGGAGGGGGCUGCCUGAGAAACCAACCUGUGUGCCUGGGUCAGGUUGAUAUGGCUAGGCGGCCUGCUGGCGAGAUAGUGGGAGUGGGCGGUCCGCCCCUCAGGACCUCUGACUUGGACAGAUGACUGGAUGACUCUCUGGGGCAGCAUUCACCGGAACUCAUAUGGAGGGGGCUGCCUGAGAAACCAACCUGUGUGCCUGGCCCACCACCUACCAGAGGUAUUGGAAAAGAACGGAUACGGAGGAAGUGGACCCAUUUAGAGGUGAUUAUUUGGAGCAAAUCCCAUCUGCUUUGUCAGUUAUUGAGCAGUUCCGUUCAUAGGCUGGCAAUGGCAGCUUGAUCCACUCUCAAAGUCUUCAUGGAUACACCAGCAGUCCGUUCAGUAAAGUCCAGAUAGCAGCAGUUGCACGACCUAGCAGGAACAACCAGGCCUCAGCUGAAGACAGUAGUCUACAGGAGGCAUUGGACUAGCAUGAAUGUCAGGAGAAACUUACAGCUGUGCCUCUCUUAAGGAAGUGAAGAUCAGUGAAGACAGGAGACCAAAAGGCGUUUAGCUGUGCAAGCAAGCCAAGCCCUUCUCCCAGUCCCUCCAAACAUCACUAGUCCUCCACAGGACUUGUCUCACCAUGUGUUGCCUCAGCAAAACUCACCUUUACAAACACAGCUUUGAAGGCCAGUUUUUUGAGUUAAUAAUGUAAACAAAUGUUAUUCUACGACAAACGUAGAAUUCAAGAGAAAAAUGGAGUAAUGAGUAAACCAGACAUUAAAAAAGAUUCUAUAAAUGAUCGAAUUACCUUUAGGCUACUGCAGCUUAGGUAUAAUGUAAGGGGAGUAAUAAUCUACAAAUAAGCAAAUGAGCCAAGAUGACCAAGAUGGAAAUGGUUUGAUUAGGAAUUUGAUUAGGGAAGUUCUGCCAAGGCAGGGAUAGUUGGGGUGGACACCUUUAGUCCCAGCACUGGGGCUUUAUGCAUGCUAAGGACGAGCUCUAUUGCUGGGCCCCACGCUCUAGAGUCAAUGCUCUAAAAUACUGCACAAACUAAUUCUCAGACAUUAACUGCAGGAAGAAUGCUCUAAUCCUAGAUGAGUGUUUUCAAAACAAAACUUAGCAGCGAAGACCAAAAAA